GACGAACGCUGGCGGCGUGCUUAACACAUGCAAGUCGAACGGGAAGGCCCUGCUUUUGUGCGGUGCACGAGUGGGGAACGGGUGAGUAACACGUGAGUAACCUGCACUUGACUUUGGGAACACUUCCGGAAACUGGGGAUAAUACCGGAUAGGAGCUCCUGCUUCAUGGAGGGGGGUGGAAAGUUUCGGCGGUUGGGGGGUGACUCGAGGCUUCGCAGCUUGUUUGUGUGGUAGUGGCUUACCAAGGCUUUGAAGGGUAGCCGGCCUGGGAGGGUGACCGGCCACACUGGGACUGAGAUACGGCCCAGACUCCUACGGGAGGCAGCAGUGGGGAAUAGUGCACAAUGGGCUGAAGCCAGAUGCAGCAACGCCGCGUGCGGUAUGACGGCCUUCGGGUUGUAAACCGCUGUCGCCUGUGACGAAGCGUGAGUGACGGUAAUGGGUAAAGAAGCACCGGCUAACUACGUG
This 468-nucleotide ribosomal RNA is filed under the name uncultured bacterium. RNAcentral describes it as "partial 16S ribosomal RNA". It matches the Rfam family "Bacterial small subunit ribosomal RNA", at positions 28 to 507 of the family's 1533-position model. The record is from RNAcentral.